RNAcentral lists this transfer RNA (73 nucleotides) under Camelus bactrianus (Bactrian camel). It matches the Rfam family "tRNA". Rfam says of the family: Transfer RNA (tRNA) molecules are approximately 80 nucleotides in length. Their secondary structure includes four short double-helical elements and three loops (D, anti-codon, and T loops). Lineage: Eukaryota; Metazoa; Chordata; Mammalia; Artiodactyla; Camelidae. The record is from Rfam by way of RNAcentral. RNAcentral also lists the same sequence under 2 other names.
GGGGAUAUAGCUUAAGUGGUAGAGCACUUGCUUAGCAUGCACAAGUUCCUGGAUUCAAUUCCCAGUACCUCCU